This 367-nucleotide unclassified non-coding RNA is filed under the name uncultured fungus. RNAcentral describes it as "partial contains 5.8S ribosomal RNA and internal transcribed spacer 2". The stretch from base 1 to 133 matches the Rfam family "5.8S ribosomal RNA", at positions 22 to 154 of the family's 154-position model. The record is from RNAcentral. Lineage: Eukaryota; Fungi.
UGGCUCUCGCAUCGAUGAAGAACGCAGCGAAAUGCGAUAAGUAAUGUGAAUUGCAGAAUUCAGUGAAUCAUCGAAUCUUUGAACGCACCUUGCGCUCCUUGGUAUUCCGAGGAGCAUGCCUGUUUGAGUGUCAUUAAAUUCUCAACCUUUCCAUUUUGUAACAAAGUGUUGAAAGGCUUGGAUGUGGAGGUUGCUGGCUCUAGUAGUCAGCUCUUCUGAAAUGCAUUAGCGGAGACUUGUAGUCUAUCUCCCUUGGUGUGAUAAUUAUCUACGCCUCGGUUGACUAUGAAAAUGCUUUGCUCUCUAAUCGUCUACUUGUAGACAAUUAUCAAAUCUUGACCUCAAAUCAGGUAGGACUACCCGCUGA